This 473-nucleotide ribosomal RNA is filed under the name uncultured bacterium. RNAcentral describes it as "bacterial SSU rRNA". It matches the Rfam family "Bacterial small subunit ribosomal RNA", at positions 355 to 825 of the family's 1533-position model. The record is from RNAcentral.
UGGGGAAUUUUUCGCAAUGGGGGAAACCCUGACGAAGCAACGCCGCGUGGAGGAUGAAGGCCUUCGGGUCGUAAACUCCUGUCGACCGGGACGAAAGUAGUCCGACCCAAUACGUCGGGCUAUCGACUGUACCGGUGGAGGAAGCCACGGCUAACUCUGUGCCAGCAGCCGCGGUAAUACAGAGGUGGCAAGCGUUGUUCGGAAUUACUGGGCGUAAAGGGCGCGUAGGCGGUCGAUUAAGUCCCGUGUGGAAUCCCUCGGCUCAACUGAGGAACUGCACGGGAAACUGGUUGACUUGAGUUCGGGAGAGGGAAGCGGAAUUCCGGGUGUAGCGGUGAAAUGCGUAGAUAUGUGGAGGAAUACCGAUGGCGAAGGCAGCCCCCUGGGAUAACACUGACGCUCAUGCACGAAAGCGUGGGGAGCAAACAGGAUUAGAUACCCCCGUAGUCCCUGAGCGGGCUGGCAAGGCGCAU